Long non-coding RNA from Salvia miltiorrhiza (redroot sage), 394 nucleotides. RefSeq lists it as uncharacterized. The transcript is spliced from 3 exons. NCBI's taxonomy places the organism in Eukaryota, Viridiplantae, Streptophyta, Magnoliopsida, Lamiales, Lamiaceae. The record is from RefSeq and is a predicted model, not a curated record.
UGAGCGUGAACCAAAUUUCUCCCCAUUCUGCAAAUUCUAAAACAAAAAAACACCAAGCACACACGUCAUCCCAACAGUGUCCACAACCAUUCACGUCAGAGAAGGUCAUAUACAAGAGAAGGUGAAUCCAUAGUUCAGAAUCACCUGAAUCAUCAGACCACGAUCAGGUUGAGCAGAGACGAUGAUGAAAUGGUGUCGAGCGGUCUUUUGUUUUGGUUGAAUGUAUAUUUCGAGACGCAUGUCUUUAACAUGCCUCUCCAGUCAGUCUUCCGCUUCGAACACUUAUUUUGUGUAAAGAUCACAAUAGGUCUUCUCUAUUGUGAUUCUCGUAUGUAAACAACAUCUUUGGCUUGUAAAAUCCUUUCAAGUUUAUAAAGAGUGACUUCUUUAUACA